RNAcentral lists this long non-coding RNA (405 nucleotides) under Mytilus galloprovincialis (Mediterranean mussel). The record is from RNAcentral. Lineage: Eukaryota; Metazoa; Mollusca; Bivalvia; Mytilida; Mytilidae.
GCUCUAGAUAAUAAAAAUAUUGGAUGUCUAAAGGUUAGAGGUAUAAGCAAAGACAUUCAAAAUAAGAAUAUUGCAAAUCUAUGACACUUUUAGACUGUAAUAAAUAAAGAACAAUAGGUUUUGUCUCUAAAUAUCUAAAAUCUUCUCUCUCUCCUCUCUCAUCAUCAUACAUGAGUGUGCUCCCUUUCCCACUCUUGACCAUUCUACAUAUUUCUCUCUCUCCCACUGACCAUAUACAAUUAUGAAAUUUCAGUCAUAUACUUUAAUUGACAAGGAUAUUAGUCUCUGACAUGUUCAUUGUUUUACUAUGCUGCUGGCUGUUACUAUGUUAAUAUUGACAUGUUCAUUGUUUUACUAUGCUGUUAAUAUGUUAAACUUUUUUCUAUGUCUAUCAGUUGACUAAGU